CAGUCGAGCGGAACGAGUUAUCUGAACCUUCGGGGAACGAUAACGGCGUCGAGCGGCGGACGGGUGAGUAAUGCCUAGGAAAUUGCCCUGAUGUGGGGGAUAACCAUUGGAAACGAUGGCUAAUACCGCAUGAUGCCUACGGGCCAAAGAGGGGGACCUUCGGGCCUCUCGCGUCAGGAUAUGCCUAGGUGGGAUUAGCUAGUUGGUGAGGUAAGGGCUCACCAAGGCGACGAUCCCUAGCUGGUCUGAGAGGAUGAUCAGCCACACUGGAACUGAGACACGGUCCAGACUCCUACGGGAGGCAGCAGUGGGGAAUAUUGCACAAUGGGCGCAAGCCUGAUGCAGCCAUGCCGCGUGUGUGAAGAAGGCCUUCGGGUUGUAAAGCACUUUCAGUCGUGAGGAAGGUAGUGUAGUUAAUAGCUGCAUUAUUUGACGUUAGCGACAGAAGAAGCACCGGCUAACUCCGUGCCAGC
Molecule: ribosomal RNA, 473 nt
Filed under: bacterium 1911-S5-05-1.2.1
Lineage: Bacteria
Description: bacterial SSU rRNA
Rfam family: Bacterial small subunit ribosomal RNA
Source: RNAcentral